This 1014-nucleotide long non-coding RNA is filed under the name Scleropages formosus (Asian bonytongue). Its description in RNAcentral is "lncRNA (ENSSFOG00015032868.1)". The record is from RNAcentral. Lineage: Eukaryota; Metazoa; Chordata; Actinopteri; Osteoglossiformes; Osteoglossidae.
CCUGACUGUAUUGAUUCCCUGGUGCCAAAUGCAUCAUACCUGCAGAGCCAGCUGAUCCUAUUUCCUUUCUGGAAGAAGACCUGAAUUAAUCGGCUAACUUUAAUGACACGUUGGAAACCCACAGACCUUGUGGUUCCCUGCCUGGCAGUGCAGUGACUUCUGGGAUUCUGUAAGAUAUGGAGAAAGAGAUGUGUGCUAUAGUUCAAGAAAGUCAGAUCCCACCUUCAACUGGAACAAAUAGUAAAGCAUUAUAAGUCUACAAUGAAAAGUAGCUCAGCUGUUGAUGUGUUCACAUUACUGACCAUCCAUCCAUCGUCAACAGCCGCUUGACCUGAGCGGGGUUGUGGGGAGCCGGAGCCCAACCCGGCAACGCAGGGCGCAACGCUGGGGGGGAGGGGACACACCCAGGACGGGACACCAGUCCGUUGCAGGGCACCCCGGGCAGGGCCGAACCCCAGACCUGCCACACAGCAGGCACCAGCCAAACAUGUCGUCUCACCAUGACACCCCCCAUAUUACAGACCGUCUUGUAGAUUUUCAUAAGCAGAAACGCCGCUCUGAGGGACCCCAUUCGGCCACAGCUCAGCUGAGGGGGAAUAAGACGCUGAUUUGAAACAUGAAUUCAGACCGAUGCCGCUGGUAAAUUAUGCAUCCAAGCAGAAGUUCCAAAAGGAAAUGGAGCCGGUGUGAGUGAGAGAGAGCACUUUAUGAAUUCAGCAAUGCCAGCACCUUUUGGAGACGGGAGAGUGCGUUGACUCUGGAUACUGAGAUUUUCAGCAGGCUGCCUACAACAAUCCAUUCAGAUCAGAUGGCCCUGUUGAAAUAUUUAAAACAUAAGGACAAGCCUUCAUCAGAUAGCUGCUGGUCAGUUGUUUCUUAUUGUGGGAAAUUUUAAGCUUAUUUUGCAGAUGUGUUUGUAAAAAUGCGGCAUGCAUGUCAAGUAACUUUGUUCUUAGCAAAAUAUUUAAAAUGUAUUAUUGGAUUUGCACCACAACACAUAAAUGAUAAAAUUUG